RNAcentral lists this ribosomal RNA (500 nucleotides) under uncultured bacterium. RNAcentral's name for it is "partial 16S ribosomal RNA". It matches the Rfam family "Bacterial small subunit ribosomal RNA", at positions 30 to 523 of the family's 1533-position model. The record is from RNAcentral.
AUUGAACGCUGGCGGAAUGCUUUACACAUGCAAGUCGAACGGCAGCACGGACUUCGGUCUGGAGGCGAGUGGCGAACGGGUGAGUAAUGUAUCGGAACGUGCCCAGUCGUGGGGGAUAACGUAGUGAAAAUUACGCUAAUACCGCAUACGAUCUAUGGAUGAAAGCGGGGGAUCGCAAGACCUAGCGCGAUUGGAGCGGCCGAUAUCAGAUUAGGUAGUUGGUGGGGUAAAGGCCCACCAAGCCAACGAUCUGUAGCUGGUCUGAGAGGACGACCAGCCACACUGGAACUGAGACACGGGCCAGACUCCUACGGGAGGCAGCAGUGGGGAAUUUUGGACAAUGGGCGAAAGCCUGAUCCAGCCAUUCCGCGUGCAGGAUGAAGGCCCUCGGGUUGUAAACUGCUUUUGUACAGAACGAAAAGGUUUCUACUAAUACUAGGAGCUCAUGACGGUACUGUAAGAAUAAGCACCGGCUAACUACGUGCCAGCCGCCGCAGUAA